GAAACGCUGCUUUUCUGAAACGAGUGUUUAGUUUAGACACUCUUGUGAAACCUCUUCCUCCUACUAUGGCCUAUAGUGCUCAACGCAGCCUGCGUUUUUUCACUCGCAUUUUCACACAGCUUUGGGAUCCUGAGGGAAUCCAAGAUGCGCAAAGAGCAAUUGGGAUUGGGAAUGAAGAGAAAGUUCGUCGUGUCCGUUGACCAAUGUCUAAUUAAUUAUAUCUUUUUUUCUCUGUAUCUUGUUAUACUGAGCUUGUUAGUUUUUCA
This 266-nucleotide unclassified non-coding RNA is filed under the name Hevea brasiliensis (rubber tree). The record is from RNAcentral. Lineage: Eukaryota; Viridiplantae; Streptophyta; Magnoliopsida; Malpighiales; Euphorbiaceae.